This is a long non-coding RNA of Apis mellifera (honey bee), 144 nucleotides long. RefSeq lists it as uncharacterized. The transcript has 2 exons. Lineage: Eukaryota; Metazoa; Arthropoda; Insecta; Hymenoptera; Apidae. The record is from RefSeq and is a predicted model, not a curated record.
CUUCAAAUUAAUGGACGAAAGUGAAAUUUGUAUCUAUGAAAUUAGUCUUCAGAAUAAUGUUGAUAUAAUUUAUGAAGAUACGAAGGAUUUAUGUAAAAACAUAUAUGAAGUAUAAUAAAUUAUUUUACAAAUGUUUAAGUACAA